GACGAACGCUGGCGGCGUGCUUAACACAUGCAAGUCGAACGGAAAGGCCCUGCUUUUGUGGGGUGCUCGAGUGGCGAACGGGUGAGUAACACGUGAGUAACCUGCCCUUGACUUUGGGAUAACUUCAGGAAACUGGGGCUAAUACCGGAUAGGAGCUCCUGCUGCAUGGUGGGGGUUGGAAAGUUUCGGCGGUUGGGGAUGGAUUCGCGGCUUAUCAGCUUGUUGGUGGGGUAGUGGCUUACCAAGGCUUUGACGGGUAGCCGGCAUGAGAGGGUGACCGGCCACAAGAGGCCUGAGGUAGGGACCAGACUGCUACGGGGGGCAGCAGGGGGGAGUAUGGCACAGUAGGCGGAAGCGUGAGGCAGCAACGCCGGGUGCGGGAUGACGGCUUUCGGGUUGUAAACCGCUUUCGCCUGUGACGAAGCGUGAGUGACGGUAAUGGGUAAAGAAGCACCGGCUAACUACGUG
Molecule: ribosomal RNA, 468 nt
Filed under: uncultured bacterium
Lineage: Bacteria
Description: partial 16S ribosomal RNA
Rfam family: Bacterial small subunit ribosomal RNA
Source: RNAcentral